This 88-nucleotide transfer RNA is filed under the name Synergistaceae bacterium. Its description in RNAcentral is "tRNA-Ser". It matches the Rfam family "tRNA". Rfam says of the family: Transfer RNA (tRNA) molecules are approximately 80 nucleotides in length. Their secondary structure includes four short double-helical elements and three loops (D, anti-codon, and T loops). The record is from RNAcentral. RNAcentral also lists the same sequence under 3 other names. Lineage: Bacteria; Thermotogati; Synergistota; Synergistia; Synergistales; Synergistaceae.
GGAGAAGUGGCCGAGUGGUCGAAGGCGGGCGCUUGGAGAGCGUCUGGGCGGCAACGUCCCGUGGGUUCGAAUCCCUCCUUCUCCGCCA